RNAcentral lists this ribosomal RNA (468 nucleotides) under uncultured bacterium. RNAcentral's name for it is "partial 16S ribosomal RNA". It matches the Rfam family "Bacterial small subunit ribosomal RNA", at positions 28 to 507 of the family's 1533-position model. The record is from RNAcentral.
GACGAACGCUGGCGGCGUGCUUAACACAUGCAAGUCGAACGGUGAAGCUCCAGCUUGCUGGAGUGGAUCAGUGGCGAACGGGUGAGUAACACGUGAGCAACCUGCCCCUGACUCUGGAAUAAGCGCUGGAAACGGCGUCUAAUACUGGAUACGAGAAGGGUCCGCAUGGGCACUUUCUGGAAAGUUUUUCGGUUGGGGAUGGGCUCGCGGCCUAUCAGCUUGUUGGUGAGGUAAUGGCUCACCAAGGCGACGACGGGUAGCCGGCCUGAGAGGGCGACCGGCCACACUGGGACUGAGACACGGCCCAGACUCCUACGGGAGGCAGCAGUGGGGAAUAUUGCACAAUGGGCGAAAGCCUGAUGCAGCGACGCCGCGUGAGGGAUGACGGCCUUCGGGUUAUAAACCUCUUUCAGCAGGGAAGAAGCGAAAGUGACGGUACCUGCAGAAGAAGCACCGGCUAACUACGUG